RNAcentral lists this ribosomal RNA (468 nucleotides) under uncultured bacterium. Its description in RNAcentral is "partial 16S ribosomal RNA". It matches the Rfam family "Bacterial small subunit ribosomal RNA", at positions 28 to 507 of the family's 1533-position model. The record is from RNAcentral.
GACGAACGCUGGCGGCGUGCUUAACACAUGCAAGUCGAACGGAAAGGCCCUGCUUUUGUGGGGUGCUCGAGUGGCGAACGGGUGAGUAACACGUGAGUAACCUGCCCUUGACUUUGGGAUAACUUCAGGAAACUGGGGCUAAUACCGGAUAGGAUCUCCUGCUGCAUGGUGUUGGUUGGAAAGUUUCGGCGGUUGGGGAUGGACUCGCGGCUUAUCAGCUUGUUUGUGGGGUAGUUGCUUACCAAGGCUUUGACGGGUAGCCGGCCUGAGAGGGUGAACGGCCACAUGGGGACUGAGAUACGGCCCAGACUCCUACGGGAGGCAGCAGUGGGGAAUAUUGCACAAUGGGCGGAAGCCUGAUGCAGCAACGCCGCGUGCGGGAUGACGGCCUUCGGGUUGUAAACCGCUUUCGCCUGUGACGAAGCGUGAGUGACGGUAAUGGGUAAAGAAGCACCGGCUAACUACGUG